Molecule: non-coding RNA, 21 nt
Filed under: Caenorhabditis elegans
Lineage: Eukaryota; Metazoa; Nematoda; Chromadorea; Rhabditida; Rhabditidae
Source: RNAcentral
UAUAUUACCAAUCGUCUGACU